UACGUAGGGGGCAAGCGUUGUCCGGAUUUAUUGGGCGUAAAGAGCGUGUAGGCGGCCAUACAGGUCCGUUGUGAAAACUGGAGGCUUAACCUCCAGACGUCGAUGGAAACCGUAUGGCUAGAGUCCGGAAGAGGAGAGUGGAAUUCCUGGUGUAGCGGUGAAAUGCGCAGAUAUCAGGAAGAACACCUAUGGCGAAGGCAGCUCUCUGGGACGGUACUGACGCUGAGGUGCGAAAGCGUGGGGAGCAAACAGG
Molecule: ribosomal RNA, 253 nt
Filed under: uncultured bacterium
Lineage: Bacteria
Description: partial 16S ribosomal RNA
Rfam family: Bacterial small subunit ribosomal RNA
Source: RNAcentral